CGUCGUGGAAAGAUGCGGGGGGAGAGGUACUGAAACGUCUUUCCAUCGACGAUCUCCACGCGUCCCUCUCACCGACGGCUGUAGGGGCCCCACACCUUCGUCCUCCGACAGUCGCCACGUCGUCUCGAGUACAAUUAACCGGUUCCUCUAAUGUCUCAAUGAGAGAGCGCUCGAGUCCCGUCACCGCCUCAUCACUUCCCAGCCCCCACCCCUUCGUGGCGACAAGAUUGGAAAGAUCUUUUAGGCUGCCGUUGCUUCUGCGACGAUCUCUGCCUUUCUGAUUUUAUUGCAGGAGAAUGAUUGGCGAAGACAAGAGCUUUCUGAUUUUAUUGCAAGAGAAUGAUUCAUUGGCAGACAGAAGAGAGGCUCCAGAUCUGAUAAGGAAGGCUUUGCUGCAGAUUUUGAUUGGGAGGAGAGGGAUGCGGAAGAGAAGAUGUGAUUUUAUGUGAUGAGGAGGCGGAGGAGAAUGGGUGGUUGACAGAAGAGAGCGAGCACACGGCGGGGGGAAAUGGUAUGGUAUGAUGCUGUUUCCGUUGCGUGCUCACUUCUCUUCCUGUCAACCCUUGCUAUCAUCGUCGCAUGCUCUUGCUCUCUCUCUCUCUCCCCCAGCGAGGAAAAGGGGAAAAGACGUUAAAGAUGAUAUCUUUAUCUCGGGAAAUGGCUACGCGUGUGGCGAUCGCUGCGUUCUCGAUUCAUCAAAAUGGUUGUUUAUUAUUAUUCAUUAACAUUGCCCUUGCUGCAGCCGGUCGUCUCCCUUUAAUUUCUUGUCUUUGAUAUGUGCGUCAGUCGUCGCGAGAGGAACACCGCGACGGAUGAUUUCCGACGACGAUGGUGAUGUAAUCGCUUGUACAUACGGCUCUCCGAAUGAUCCUUAUCCUUUCUUUCUUUUGUGAGAGGGUAGGGAAAAUUAUGGGGAGAAGCAGAAACUGAAGCCGUGGAACCCUGAAAAAAACGUGGCUUUUGAGGAGCAGAAGGGGGCGACCGUCCACCUCUCUUCGGGAAUCGGAUCGGGUCGGAUGAAGGUGGGUAGGGUUGCGUACAUGCAUCUCCCGUGCACACUGUGCGGAUCUACGGAAACCACUGUUCGGAUGUUCUUUUUUCCUUUUUCUUUAUGUCAUCCUUUGUGCUACGACUCUCUGGAAGCAUCUUCGUCUCUCUUGUUUCCUUUCUAUUCUCUUUGGCUAGGGGUUGUUCUGGGCGUUUCGAUGGUGGCUGAUUGAGGUACCAGAUCUGGAUUUGUUUCUCCCCAACAUUGUGUGUUCGUAGAACCAAGAUGGAAUUUUGGCGAAGAUCCUGAUUCAAAUGAAUCAGUGGUUCUCUAGCACGUGUCAUUUUAUCGAGGAACUUCUUCAUGCUUCGGAGGUCACAUAUUGAUAAUAGAUGUCUUUUAUAAGGGUUUGGUGAAUUGUGGAUAUGAUGUGAAGGCUAUAAGUGGAUGGUGCCAGUUAAAGUCAAGUGUUACGCAGGUGAACUGUCAAGUUGAGGUCUCGCGAAGAUCACAAAGUGUUGUAUAUUUCUUCAACUUAUGGUGUACUUGGGUUACUCUCUUGAGACUCUUAAAAGAACUUUUGAAUUGGUAGCUGUUGGAACCUUCAUAUCGUCUCUACUGAAGCCUGAUAAUAUUGCACAGCCAUAAUAAAUCAUGUUCUAAAGGAUCGGUAAUCUCAAUCUAGAUGGAUCAGUUUCCUCAGCUCCAAGAGACAAUAUCAUGUAUUGUCAAGGUAUGAGACUUGCUAAUAUGUAUAAAGGCUGACAUAUUCUGAGUCCCAGCCAUAUGUAGGCAUAUCAAACAUGGGUUAACGUUGUGGGUGCUGUUAUCAUUUUGCCAAAGUAUCGGGAAAUAGCGAGGAAGAUGAUUCAGAGUAUCUGUUGUGCCCUUAAAAGUAUGUUUAUCUCACCAGUCUCGGUCACCUGGAAUGUUGGAAGUGCAACCUGCACCCCUUAGCAGAUAAAGUACAAUUUUUCAUACAUCAAAACCAACACACGAGUACUUGAGAUGGGAUAUUCUUUGAUGUAUAGAGAAGAUGGAAAAGGCAAGAGAAGAUAUUCUUAAUUACUUCUUAUGGAGCAGCUUCAGAGGAUUCACAAGUGAACAAACGAAAGCAGGCAUAAAGAAAAAAAGAGGGAUGCAUGGAUCAGGGAGUUUGGUGGUGCUCUUGUAAGCAUGCAUCUCUGCUAUUGUGGAAGAGGAGGACAGUUGGGCUGAGGAAACAGACGAGAGGGGUAAGGAAUACUACAGUUGUGGCUGGUCAUACAAGAACACCAAGUGCAUGUGCUGCCUUUUAUCACUUUGGAUGAUCAUGCUAUUAUUGUACUUUUUGUUUGAGAUUUUUUUUGAGGGUUCCUAGUUUGUCAGUUACAUCAAUAAUCUUGGUUGAACUUCCCAUCUUUUGUGGUCAUGUGAUUGGUAUUGCUAUCUAAAUUUGUUAUUGGUAGUCAAUCAUUUUUUUUUUAUU
This is a non-coding RNA of Musa acuminata subsp. malaccensis (wild Malaysian banana), 2456 nucleotides long. Lineage: Eukaryota; Viridiplantae; Streptophyta; Magnoliopsida; Zingiberales; Musaceae. The record is from RefSeq and is a predicted model, not a curated record.